AAUCUUCCGCAAUGGACGAAAGUCUGACGGAGCCACGCCGCGUGAGUGAUGAAGGUUUUCGGGUCGUAAAGCUCUGUUGUUAGGGAAGAACAGGUAUCGGCUUCACUGCGGGUACCUUGACGGUACCUGACGAGAAAGCCACGGCUAACUACGUGCCAGCAGCCGCGGUAAUACGUAGGUGGCAAGCGUUUAUCGGAAUUAUUGGGGGUAAAGCGCGCGCAGGCGGUCUGGAAAGAAUGAUGUGAAAUCCUAGGGCUUAACCGUAAGAGGUCAUUGGAAACUGGGGGACUAGAGUAUAGAAGAGGAGGGUGGAAUUCCAUGUGUAGCAGUGAAAUGCGUAGAGAUGUGGAGGAACACCAGUGGCGAAGGCAGCUCUCUGGUAUGUAACUGACGCUGAGGCGCGAAAGCGUGGGGAGCAAACA
RNAcentral lists this ribosomal RNA (422 nucleotides) under uncultured bacterium. RNAcentral's name for it is "partial 16S ribosomal RNA". It matches the Rfam family "Bacterial small subunit ribosomal RNA", at positions 360 to 774 of the family's 1533-position model. The record is from RNAcentral.